RNAcentral lists this RNase P RNA (369 nucleotides) under Chloroflexota bacterium. RNAcentral's name for it is "Chloroflexi bacterium (cold seep metagenome) RNase P RNA component class A". It matches the Rfam family "Bacterial RNase P class A". From Rfam's summary of the family: Ribonuclease P (RNase P) is a ubiquitous endoribonuclease, found in archaea, bacteria and eukarya as well as chloroplasts and mitochondria. Lineage: Bacteria; Bacillati; Chloroflexota. The record is from RNAcentral.
CAAGCAGAUCGGGUGACCGCGCUAUGUUUGAGACAUAGCGAGGAAAGUCCGAGCUCCACCGAGCGGGGUGCUGGGUAACGCCCAGGAGGGGUAACCCUACGGAAAGUGCCACAGAAACACACCGCUCGUCCCUUGUGACAAGCAAAGGACGAGCAAGGGUGAAAUGGUGAGGUAAGAGCUCACCAGCAACCAGGUGACUGGUUGGCUGGGCAAACCCCACCCGGAGCAAGACCGAAUAAGAGGACGCUUGAGGCGCUCGGCCGAUGUCUUCGGGUUGGUCGCUUGACCCUGAUGGUAACAUCAGGGCUAGAUGGAUGGUCACCGCCCUAUUGCAGGGUACAGGACUCGGCUUAUAGAUCUACUUGUCCC